RNAcentral lists this ribosomal RNA (435 nucleotides) under uncultured bacterium. Its description in RNAcentral is "bacterial SSU rRNA". It matches the Rfam family "Bacterial small subunit ribosomal RNA", at positions 958 to 1392 of the family's 1533-position model. The record is from RNAcentral.
AACGCGAAGAACCUUACCUGGUCUUGACAUAGUAAGAACUUUCCAGAGAUGGAUUGGUGCCUUCGGGAACUUACAUACAGGUGCUGCAUGGCUGUCGUCAGCUCGCGUCGUGAGAUGUUGGGUUAAGUCCCGCAACGAGCGCAACCCUUUUCCUUAUUUGCCAGCGGGUUAAGCCGGGAACUUUAAGGAUACUGCCAGUGACAAACUGGAGGAAGGCGGGGACGACGUCAAGUCAUCAUGGCCCUUACGACCAGGGCUACACACGUGCUACAAUGGUCGGUACAAAGGGUUGCUACUCCGCGAGGAGAUGCUAAUCUCAGAAAGCCGAUCGUAGUCCGGAUCGCAGUCUGCAACUCGACUCCAUGAAGUCGGAAUCGCUAGUAAUCGUGGAUCAGAAUGCCACGGUGAAUACGUUCCCGGGUCUUGUACACACCG